Molecule: ribosomal RNA, 253 nt
Filed under: uncultured bacterium
Lineage: Bacteria
Description: partial 16S ribosomal RNA
Rfam family: Bacterial small subunit ribosomal RNA
Source: RNAcentral
UACGUAGGGGGCGAGCGUUGUUCGGAAUUAUUGGGCGUAAAGGGUGCGUAGGCGGCCUGUUAAGUGUGUCUGUCAAACCUGAGGCUUACCUUCAGGGCUUGGACGCAAACUGGUGGGCUAGAGUCCGCGAGAGGUAGGUGGAAUUCCUGGUGUAGCAGUGAAAUGUAUAGAUAUCAGGAGGAACACCGGUGGCGAAGGCGACCUGCUGGCGCUGGACUGACGCUGAAGCACGAAAGCUGGGGGAUCAAACAGG